AUGACAGGGAUCCGCGGCACAGUAGGAGAGGUGACGCCGGCCGGCAGCGCCUCACCGCCAGCUAUUGUUUGGCGUCGGCAAGGAGAAGGGCGCUUAGGAUCUGCUUCGCUGUGCAUGGCUGUUGAAGUUCAGCAUCGCCAUGAUGUGUAUGUUUUCUCUAUUUUCCUCAUAUUGCCCUAUUCCCAAUUUUACAAACUGCUAUCUGACGCACAAUGGCCACGCCACGCACUGGUGAGAUUCAAGGUGCAGUCGAGCAAGAGUCAGUUCGAGGUGAGGUGUCUCACGUCUAUCUCCUGCUGCUCACCAGCAAGGCUCGCUGACGAGCGGCCAGAUCCACACGAGGUGGAUGUCACACACACGGCCCUCUCCCCUCCAUCCUUUCUCUUUCCUACAACUAUUAUGUCUUUGUACCUUGUUAUAUUGCUCUUUCAUCCAUGGUGA
RNAcentral lists this ribosomal RNA (441 nucleotides) under Triticum aestivum (bread wheat). RNAcentral describes it as "partial small subunit ribosomal RNA". The record is from RNAcentral. Lineage: Eukaryota; Viridiplantae; Streptophyta; Magnoliopsida; Poales; Poaceae.